Molecule: ribosomal RNA, 62 nt
Filed under: Neisseria meningitidis
Lineage: Bacteria; Pseudomonadati; Pseudomonadota; Betaproteobacteria; Neisseriales; Neisseriaceae
Description: partial 16S ribosomal RNA
Source: RNAcentral
UUAAAAAUAAAAGGGAUUGACGGGGACACGCACAAGCGGUGGAUGUUUUUGUUUCAAGCGAU